This is a non-coding RNA of Pelodiscus sinensis (Chinese soft-shelled turtle), 883 nucleotides long. NCBI's taxonomy places the organism in Eukaryota, Metazoa, Chordata, Testudines, Trionychidae. The record is from RefSeq and is a predicted model, not a curated record.
AUAGUGCUAAAGAUCAAGGAAGUCUGCUGUUAAACACUGUCAGCAAUGUUAACAAAAUUACCAGUGAAGAAGAAGAAAUGAAUCCACGAUGAAUAAUAAUGCACUAUAUCAGGCUGCAAAGACAGUUAGGUGAAACUAUGUUAACACAAAUGGGUUGCAGGGAAAGGACACAAAUUAAGAAAGAAGAGAGAGACCUUUGAUUAUGAACCACAUCUAGAGAGACGACUAGAAAGAAGGAGUGAAGGUCUGGAGUUCCCGAAUUUUGAUCAUACAGACAAAAAAGUCUCUUCACCAAGGCAGUCCAUUUUUAGGCUGGAACAGAAGUGAGUACCUCUCCCCUCACCUCAACAUUCUUGGUCCUUUCAGCAGAGCCUGGAUCUAUCUCCUGUACAGAACCCGCUACCUAGCUACAUUAGGCACAACUGUGUAAAAAUGUCAGUAGAGACCACGGUUCAAUGCCAGGCCAGUGUAGAGAAAGAGACAGAAGCACCUUUUCCGUUCUUUUGCAAAACCUUUCAACAAUCUUUCCCUGAGAUUUACUAAGAUUAUGCUGCAUGUGUCAGAGCAGUGUUCUCAGUGUCUGUAUUAAGAUUGAAAGCCUCCAAGUAAGCACUGUGUCUCAUUUGAUUGUAUAGCAUUACAUAUACUGUCACUCCAUUACAAAAACGAUGGGCCUGUUAUAUAUUUUUAAGUGGGUCAAUUUUUAAUCCUAGAAACCUUUCAGUUACCUUGUAUAUUCACCAGAGGGUUGAAAUUUAAAUAAGUGUCUUGACAUUUUCUUUACAAAUCAAAUAUUAGGCUAAGAUUGCUAAACUGUCAAGAAAAGGGUUUAAGAUACUUAGGUUGAAAUGGUUAAAAUAUCUUCACGUUUGAGCAGAGAAAA